GAAGGACCCAUCUGUCAUCCAGAUCUCAUGGCAUGCGAGGUCUGCUGCUUGUCUGGAUCCGGGAUCAGGGACAUCACGGUGAGAAUUCCUGACCUCAUCUGGCCCUCCAACAACUAUCCCAUGGUCCUCAUCCAUGUGGGAACAAAUGAUGCUGCCAGGAGUAGUCCAGACCAUAUCAUGAGUGACUACAGGGAUCUGGGGACCAGGCUUAGGAAGACAGGGGCACAGGUGGUCUUCUCAUCGAUCCUCCUGGUCAGUGGUUGCCGUAGGCAUCAUGUCACCUGCAUCAGGAAAGUCAACCCGUGGUUCCGGAGUUGGUGCCAUCAUGUGGGUUUUGGCUUCCUGGACCACAAUCCGCACUUCCGUGCAAGGGACCUCCUGGGACGCGAUGGGCUUCAUCUCUCCACAAAAGAGCGUCUGGUGUCCAUAAGAAUCAAACUGUGAUCUAUGGAGAGCAGCAGGCACCAUUUAAGAAAACCUAAGCUUUGAGGACAAGCUCCCUUUGGCUAUCAUUAAAUCCAGCUGGCCUUUCCCCUAACAGUAGAGCUGUUAAAACCAUGUAAACAAAGAAAAGCAGGAUUUGGGGCAGGAUAGGGAAUGAAGAGAGGAAGACAGACAGCACUAUUGGCAUGACAAAGCUUGGAGGGGGGACAACCAGGGAACCAACACCAGGUGCCAACUUGGGUGGAGGGAGCAAAAUAUCUGGUGGUACUGCUACUGGAACAACCACCACCAUCAGCCUAGUCACUGGGGCUGACUCCUCAGGGUGUGACAUGCCCAGGCCCGGUUGUGUAACCCAUGACUCACACCUACCCCUCCUAUGUAACUUGGUUCCUGAACGAAUGGGGAUGAAUGAGGGUGCUUGAGAGACAAUGGCACUCGGUCUAAAAAUAGCUCCCUCUGAAUGACCAAACCAUCAACACCAAUACCUGGAUCAGCCCUUGGGACCACCCUCAGCAUUCAAGAAACAAAAGAUGAGGCAAGCCACCUUUGUGCCAGGCUGCACAUGCUCAGUAAGAACACCUGGAGCCCUCUGGGGCAGGAAUGACAUUGCCUGGACAGGCCCUCCCCAUAGGAGAUCAGAGGUUGUCUGCCCCAUAAAAGGGGUAGUGAAGACUGACUUCUUGGGAUGCCUUCUCCAUCUGGACCAGCACCAUGCCACACCACCUAUCCACCCAGAGGCCCUGCCAGUGACCCACCUCUGGACAAGGACCCCUUUCCAUCCUGGAUAGGUAGCUAUCACCCCCACCCUCUCUUCAACUAGGGACUUGGACUCUGUUUCUCUUCCCUACCUGGACUCCAACCCUUCCACUGAGUCUGUUUCUCCUGCAGCUAUUGUGAGUGCUUGUGUGUGUGUGUGUGUGUGUGUGUGUGAACCAAUAACUUCAUGGGGCUGUGUAUUGUGUUUUCUGUUUAAUAUAACUGUUAUUUGAACCCCUAAGUUAGGUUUUGCUUUACUAUGGUUUGGCCCUGCUCCAAUCUCUGCUCUUCACCCCUCUAACUUCUGUCUAAUUUCUCCCUCUCCUGCUUCUGGCUCAUUGCCUCCUCCAACACCUGUCCUGAGUUCCUCUCUGCCUCCAAACCCCCUGUUUCUUUGCCACGGUCUUAUCCCUACUGCCUUUUCCUUUCCCCCUAAGCAACCAGGUUUCUGCCUCAGUUUUUUUCCUGGCCAUCUCCUCCUUGCCACCAGGCUUUUUUUUUUCUUCUUUCCCUUGCACCAGUGACCGCGAGUAACCCUGGGGCCACUUGAUCUUAAGUAACCCCAAGCCUCAGUUCCUCAGCCAGCUUCUCUCUAGUCUGCCAGUUCUAAUCUCAGUUCUGGCAACUUUCACUCCCUACACUUUAACUCUCUCUCUCUCUCACCUUAACCUUCCCCAGCUACCCCAAGCGCACACACAUACAUACCAUGCCAUCCAAGUUAGGAACUUACCUGUGUGUAGGUGGGUUAUAUGUGUGUGAACUGGUGAGUCUGUGUGUGUGUGUAUAAUAUAUAUAUAUCUCAUUGUGUGCAUGAUAUACAAAUAAGUGAUCUGUGUAUGUGUACAAAGUAUGUGGGUAUUGACAAUUGAUUUUUGUCUAAUUUUUAGUGUGUAGUGUGUAUGUGCUUGAAUUGGUGAUAGGUAUGCAUGUGCCUAGGCUGGUUUGGAUGUGUAUGUGCCUGAGCUGGUAGUGUGUGUGUGUGUGUGUGUGUAUGCACCUACUUGAUUUGUGUGUUUGUAUAUGUGCAAUUGUGUCACACCCUCCUGUCUAACAGACAGUGCAAUAUUGAGAUCCUGAGAGUUGGCCUGAACCCACAGGGCAACAAAAAAUUAUGACCUGCUGCCCUGUUUCAUUUUGUAAUUUCAGGCCCGUAUUUGGGCCUGAAUUUGUUUGUUGCAAACUGCUCUGAGCCUUUUGGAAAGGGUGGGAUAUAAACCUAAAAUAUAUAUAUAAGGGGAAAAUAUAUCACAAGAGCAUAGUUUGUUGAACAUAACUUCAUUUCAUGUGUCCUAUUAAAUGCAAUGUCUAUGAAUUGCCGUGGGUUAAAGGCACAGUUUUAAAUGUUUCUUCAAGCUUGUUUUCUUUGAUAACAUUGCAAAGAUAAAUUCAAGGGUGCUGAGAAGAGAGAACUUUCUGGACCAGAUAAUGAAUAUUUUUAGACAAAGACUUGGAAACUUUGGAAAGAACGUAAUCAAUUGCUGAGACUCAUUAAAACAUGUCUUUUACUUACAAAUAACAGAUCAGUGUGCAGACUCUAAUCUCUAGGUUGUUUUUAAGUUAAAGGUGGUAGAAAUCAUUUUCACCUUAUCUGCAGUAGGUUAUGUAUUAGACUAUCAAUAAAGAUGUUGGAUCCAACUUUUCCAUAAAAAUUUCAAUGAAUAGUUAAGAAUUCAUAAGGCUGGAAUACCCUGAUCAUAUUAUAUUGUCCUUAUGUAGGCUAUCUAUUUCCAGCAGUGUUACAGGGCUGAGAGCGUAAAAUAUAUUGAAUCUUUUGAACUAAUUACUGGGAACAGAGAGUGCUCCUCCUCUGUUUCCCUCAGCACAAUACUGUCCGUAAGGCCUGUGCAAAGCUUCGCCGCCUGUUUUGUUUUGAUGCUGUUUUGACUCAUUUCAAGCAUUGAAACAGUGAAAUUGAAACGCAACGUAGGUCUUCAAAACAGCCUCAAAAUGAAAUGAGGACAGUUGAAACAUUUUGAAAGUUUCAAAAGUUUUCAACCGUUUUGAGUUUUGAAGAGGCAACCAGGUGGUGGGAGGCAGGGGAGAACCAGGGCUGCACUCUGAACGGCUCUGAAGCUCCAUGUGGUUCAGCCCGGCAGGGAGUGCAGACCUGGCUCUCCCUGCCUCAUGCCACUGGGCUGUGCUCCGUGGGGCUGGCGGAGCCAAUCAGAGCACAGCACUGGCUCUGCCUGCCUGCCAUCACCAGGCUGCACUCCGAUUGGCUCUGCCAACCCCAUGGAGCUCAGCCUGGUGGUGGGAGGUGGGCAGAGCCAGCACUGCACUCUGGCUCCUGUCAUCAUCCUGAGUUCCACGGGGAUGCAAGCCACUGGGAGCUGAGCCCAGUGGAGGGAGUCAGGGCACAGUGCUGGGGCUGUGCUCUGCCUCCCUCCACUAGGCUCAGUGCCCAGUGGUUUGCAACCCAGUGUGGGGAAGCAGAGCCCAGUGCCAGAGCUGUGCUCCAUCUCCCUCCACUGGGCUCAGUGCCGGUCCCAGGUGGCAGCAGCAGACUCCCACCUGCACAUCCGGGAGGGCUGUGGGGCUCUGCUGGACUCCUCCCAGGGGUGCAGGCCCCUGAUCUGCCUGUGAUUACAGGAGGCUGCUCCUCCUCCAGUCUUGUGCUUCCCCAUUCUAGCCUGUGGGCGAAACAUCAAAACAGCGUCGAAACAGUGAAACUGUUUCAACAAAGCGAAAUGGAACAAUGCUUUUGAAACUAAACUAAACUCAAAACGAAACACUGUUCCCCUGAAAUGUCGAGUUGGAAGUCGAAGUGGAAUGGUGCCGUUUUGUACAGCCCUAAUGUGCACAGGCACUAGUCCACAAAACUUACUUCCUAAAGUUUGUUUUAUUUAAUUUAAUAAAAUGUAAACCUCAAACUAACUGACUGGUCCUAGGACUUUCAUUACAGGUUGUCUCAGACUCUAGCUCCACUUUUCUAGGAAUGUACAUCCAGGCCAAUUACAUCCUGCUGAAGUUGAAUCCUGUUGUCAUUCUCACUAGUAUGAUAAGGCAGUAAUUACAUUACAAUUCUGUGCUGAUCCUGGCAUAUGAUCUCAGAGUGACUCAGCUUCAGAGCCCUGCAAUAGAAAAUAAAAGGACAUACUCUGUAAACAUUUUCAAGCACAAUAUAUAGACCUGUAAGUGAAAUGAUUUAAAUAAUGGUUAUUUAUAGUAAUCUGUUAUUUCUUGGAAUCGAGCAAAUAUGGUUCAUCUCUCUCAUAAUAAAGUUAUU
Alligator mississippiensis (American alligator) is the source of this 4426-nucleotide long non-coding RNA. RefSeq lists it as uncharacterized. The record is from RefSeq and is a predicted model, not a curated record. Lineage: Eukaryota; Metazoa; Chordata; Crocodylia; Alligatoridae. The transcript has 5 exons.